GUGGGAUGUACGCUGGCGGCAGGCCUAACACUGCAAGUCGAGCGGUAACACAGAGAGCUUGCUCUCGGGUGACGAGCGGCGGACGGGUGAGUAAUGUCUGGGAAACUGCCUGAUGGAGGGGGAUAACUACUGGAAACGGUAGCUAAUACCGCAUAACGUCGCAAGACCAAAGUGGGGGACCUUCGGGCCUCAUGCCAUCAGAUGUGCCCAGAUGGGAUUAGCUAGUAGGUGGGGUAAUGGCUCACCUAGGCGACGAUCCCUAGCUGGUCUGAGAGGAUGACCAGCCACACUGGAACUGAGACACGGUCCAGACUCCUACGGGAGGCAGCAGUGGGGAAUAUUGCACAAUGGGCGCAAGCCUGAUGCAGCCAUGCCGCGUGUAUGAAGAAGGCCUUCGGGUUGUAAAGUACUUUCAGCGAGGAGGAAGGCAUUAAGGUUAAUAACCUUGGUGAUUGACGUUACUCGCAGAAGAAGCACCGGCUAACUCCGUGCCAGCAGCCGCGGUAAUACGGAGGGUGCAAGCGUUAAUCGGAAUUACUGGGCGUAAAGCGCACGCAGGCGGUCUGUCAAGUCGGAUGUGAAAUCCCCGGGCUCAACCUGGGAACUGCAUUCGAAACUGGCAGGCUAGAGUCUUGUAGAGGGGGGUAGAAUUCCAGGUGUAGCGGUGAAAUGCGUAGAGAUCUGGAGGAAUACCGGUGGCGAAGGCGGCCCCCUGGACAAAGACUGACGCUCAGGUGCGAAAGCGUGGGGAGCAAACAGGAUUAGAUACCCUGGUAGUCCACGCCGUAAACGAUGUCGACUUGGAGGUUGUGCCCUUGAGGCGUGGCUUCCGGAGCUAACGCGUUAAGUCGACCGCCUGGGGAGUACGGCCGCAAGGUUAAAACUCAAAUGAAUUGACGGGGGCCCGCACAAGCGGUGGAGCAUGUGGUUUAAUUCGAUGCAACGCGAAGAACCUUACCUACUCUUGACAUCCAGAGAACUUAGCAGAGAUGCUUUGGUGCCUUCGGGAACUCUGAGACAGGUGCUGCAUGGCUGUCGUCAGCUCGUGUUGUGAAAUGUUGGGUUAAGUCCCGCAACGAGCGCAACCCUUAUCCUUUGUUGCCAGCGGUCCGGCCGGGAACUCAAAGGAGACUGCCAGUGAUAAACUGGAGGAAGGUGGGGAUGACGUCAAGUCAUCAUGGCCCUUACGAGUAGGGCUACACACGUGCUACAAUGGCAUAUACAAAGAGAAGCGACCUCGCGAGAGCAAGCGGACCUCAUAAAGUAUGUCGUAGUCCGGAUUGGAGUCUGCAACUCGACUCCAUGAAGUCGGAAUCGCUAGUAAUCGUAGAUCAGAAUGCUACGGUGAAUACGUUCCCGGGCCUUGUACACACCGCCCGUCACACCAUGGGAGUGGGUUGCAAAAGAAGUAGGUAGCUUAACCUUCGGGAGGGCGCUUACCACUUUGUGAUUCAUGACUGGGGUGAAGUCGUAACAAGGUAACCGUAGGGAAGCCUGCCUGCCGG
This 1505-nucleotide ribosomal RNA is filed under the name Enterobacter sp. ChroAq 9. RNAcentral's name for it is "bacterial SSU rRNA". It matches the Rfam family "Bacterial small subunit ribosomal RNA". Lineage: Bacteria; Pseudomonadati; Pseudomonadota; Gammaproteobacteria; Enterobacterales; Enterobacteriaceae. The record is from RNAcentral.